Malaclemys terrapin pileata is the source of this 513-nucleotide long non-coding RNA. RefSeq lists it as uncharacterized. The record is from RefSeq and is a predicted model, not a curated record. The transcript has 2 exons. Lineage: Eukaryota; Metazoa; Chordata; Testudines; Emydidae.
CUGGCAACAGAUUAGUUGCAGAAGUCUUGACAUCAGUACAAGAAGAAAAUCUGAAAGUUGAAUGUAUAGCUAUUACAAGGGACAUGGUGUCAUGGACACUGAUUUGAAGUUCCAAACAUUUUUAUUCAAGCACACAAAUGUUCUGCUGCAAUAACUUUCAACUUGAUGAUAUCUUCGUCACACUGGCUGCCAUGUGUUAUGAUGGAACCCAAAUAAGCAGAAGCUGUCUACUUGUUCGACAUCUACAGCAUAAAUGACUAACUUAGCCUGUUUCUUUUUUUUUAUUUCUGUUAUUCUUAUCUUUUGUUCAUCCAGUUUUAAUCCCGAUUGUUUGGCUGUUGUAUACAGAUUGUCCAAUGCUUUUUGGUUGUAUUCCUCUGUAGACAUUAUCAUGAUGAUAUUUUCUGUGAAGUCAAGAUGAUAAUUUGCCCCAAUAUCAUGCAGCCUCCAUCAAUGUUACUUAGGGAGUUGGACAAGAUGUUUCUAAAUAUAAAGUGAAACGUAUUGAACUGA